GGAAAGGCUUAUGCUGGAUACUUAGGCACCUAGAGAAGAGGAAGGGCGUAAUAAACGAUGAAAUGCUUUGGGAGUUGAAAAUGAGCAUAGAUUCAAAGAUUUUUGAAUAAGUCAACCUUGCAAACUGCUGCUGAAUCCAUGGGCAAGCAAGAGACAACCUGGCGAAGUAAAACAUCUUAGUAGCCAAAAGAAAAGAAAGCAAAAGCGAUUCUCGUGGUAGUGGCGAGCAAAAUAGGAGCAGCCUAAACCGUGAAAAUGCGGUUGUGGGAGAGCAACACAAGCGUCUUUUUACUAGGCAAAGUAGUGGAGUGCUACACCCUAGAUGGAGAGAGUCUAGUAGCCGAAAGUAUCACUAGCUUACGCCCUAACCCUAGUAGCAUGGGACAUGUGGAAUCUCGUGUGAAUUAGCAAGGACCACCUUGCAAGGCUAAAUACUCCUAAGUGACCGAUAGUGAAGUAGUACCAUGAGGGAAGCUUGAAAAGAACCCCCAUUGGGGAGUGAAAUAGAUCAUGAAACCAUAAGCUCCUAAGCAGUGGGGGGAGACCAAGGCUUUGACCACAUGCAAGUUGAAGAAUGAGCCGGCGACUUAUAGGGCAAUUGUCACUUCUUAUGGACUCAAACCUGGGUGAUCUAUCCAUAUCCAGGAUGAAGCUUGGGCGAAACUAAAUGGAGGUCCAAACCGACUGAUGUUGAAGAAUCACGUGAUGAGUUGUGGUUAGGGGUGCAAUGCCACUCAAACCCAAAGCUAGUUGGUUCUCCUUGAAAUGCAUUGAGGUGCAGUAGUUGACUGGACAUCUAGGGGUAAAGCACUGUUUCAGUGUAGGCUGCAAGAGCAGUACCAAAUUGAGGCAAACUCUGAAUACUAGAUAUGACCUCAAAAUAACAGGGGUCAAGGUCAGCCAGUGAGAUAAUAGCGGGUAAGCUUCAUCGUUGAGAGGGAAACAGCCUGGAUCACCAGCCAAAGCCCCUAAAUGACUGCUCAGAGACAGCUAGGAGGUUUGCCAAGAAGCAGCCACCCUUAAAAGAGUGUGUAACAGCUCAUUGAUCGAGCGCUCUUGCACCAAAGAUGAAGAGGGCUAAGCGAUCUACCGAAGUUGUGGGAUGUAAAAAUGCAUUGGUAGGGAAGCAUUCCACCUAAAGGGAAGCACCCACGUUAUCAGUGGUAGACGAAGCGGAAGCGAGAAUGUCGGCUUAACUAAUGCAAACAUUGGUGAGAAUCUAAUGCCCUAAAAACCUAAGGGUUCCUUCGCAAUGUUCAUCCACUGAGGGUGAGUUAGGGCCUAAGAUCAGGUUGAAAGGUAUAGUCGAUGGACAACAGGUGAAUAUUCCUAUACUACCCAUUGUUGGUCCCGAGGGAUGGAGGAGGCUAGGUUAGCAGAACAAUGGUUAUCGAUUCAAGAACGCAUGGUGCCCCUACUUUUUCAGGGUAAGAAGAGGUGAAGAAAAUGCCUCAAGCCAAUGUUUGAGUACCAGGUGUGACGGUACUGAAGUAACCCAUGCCAUACUCCCAGGAAAAGCUCGAACAACUUUCAAUAAAAGGGUACCUAUACCAGAAACCGACAGAUGGGUAGGUACUAAGGAACUCAAUAAAAUAGCCCCGUAACUUCGGGAGAAGGGGUGCCUCCUCACAAAGAGGGUCACAGUGUCCAGGCCGGGGCGACUAGUUACCAAAAACAUAGGUCUCCACAAAGUCAUAAGACCAUGUAUGGGGGCUGAUGCCUGCCCAGUGUCGGAUGGUCAAGGAAGUUAGUGACCUGAUGAUAGGGGAGUCAGUGACUGAAGCCCCGGUGCAUGGCAGUUGUAACUAUAACAGUGCUAAGGUAGCAAAAUUCCUUGUAGGGUAAGUUUCAACUUGCAUAAAAUGCAUAAGGAUCUGGGCACUGUCUCGGAGAGAGGCUUGGUGAAAUAGACAUGUCUAUGAAGAUGCGGACUACCUGCACCUGGACAGAAAGACAUUAUGAAGUUUCACUAUUCCCUAGGAUUGUCUUUGGAACUUUCCUGCAUAGCUUAGGUGGAGGACGAAGAAGGCCUCCUUCUGGGGGGGCCCGAGCCAUCAGUGAGAUACCACUCUGAAAGAGCUAGAAUUCUAACCUUGUGUCAAGACCUACAGGCCAGAAAAUGUGUCAGGUAGACAGUUUCUAUGAGGUGUAAGGCUCCCAAAAGGCAACGGAGGCGUGCAAAGGUUUCCUCGAUCCAGAUGGAGAUUGACCUUCGAGUGCAAAGUAGAAGGGAGCUUGACUGCAAGACUCAUCCAUCGAGUAGGGUCAAAAGUCGGCCAUAGUGAUAUGACAUUUCCGAGUGGAAGGGUUGUCGCUCAAUGGAUACAAGUUACUCUAUGGAUAACAGGCUGAUCUUCCCCAAGAGCUCACAUCAAUAGCAAUGUUUAGCACCUCGGUGUCAGCUCUUCGCCACCUAGGGCUAUGGUGAUUUCUAUGGGUUGGGCUGUUUGCCCAUUAAAGCGGUACGUGAGCUGGGUUCAGAACAUCCUGAGACAGUUCGGUCCAUAUCCGGUGUGGGCAUUAGAGGAUUGAGAGGACCUUUCCGUAAAAGACUGAGAAGGAUGCACCUCUGGUGUACUGGUUAUCAUGCCCAUGGUAAGCACUGGCUAGCCAAGUGCAGAGCAGAUAACUGCUGAAAGCAUCUAAGUAGGAAGCCCACCCCAAGAUGAGUGCUCUCUUAUUCCGACUUCCCCAGAGCUUCCAGUAGCACAACCAAGACAGCGACGGGUUUUCUACCCCUACAGGGGUGGAGCAACAGAAGGUUUGAGAAUUCAAGAGAUGGUCAUGGUGAGAUGAGCUGUUUAUCAUUAUGAUAGGUGUUAAGUGGAAGUGAAGUGAUGAAUGCAACUGAGGCAUCCUAACAGACCGGUAUACUGAAAC
This 2880-nucleotide ribosomal RNA is filed under the name Ziziphus jujuba (common jujube). Its description in RNAcentral is "bacterial LSU rRNA". It matches the Rfam family "Bacterial large subunit ribosomal RNA". Lineage: Eukaryota; Viridiplantae; Streptophyta; Magnoliopsida; Rosales; Rhamnaceae. The record is from RNAcentral.